UACGAAGGGGGCUAGCGUUGUUCGGAUUUACUGGGCGUAAAGCGCGUGUAGGCGGGUCGUUAAGUUGGGGGUGAAAUCCCGGAGCUCAACUCCGGAACUGCCUUCAAAACUGGCGACCUGGACUCAAGCAGAGGCAAGUGGAGUUGCGAGUGUAGCGGUGAAAUUCGUAGAUAUUCGCAGGAACACCAGUGGCGAAGGCGACUUGCUGGACUUGUAGUGACGCUGAGACGCGAAAGCGUGGGGAGCAAACAGG
RNAcentral lists this ribosomal RNA (253 nucleotides) under uncultured bacterium. RNAcentral describes it as "partial 16S ribosomal RNA". It matches the Rfam family "Bacterial small subunit ribosomal RNA", at positions 524 to 776 of the family's 1533-position model. The record is from RNAcentral.